AUACGUAGGGAGCGAGCGUUGUCCGGAUUUACUGGGUGUAAAGGGUGCGUAGGCGGGACUGCAAGUCAGACGUGAAAUACCGAGGCUUAACCUCGGGGCUGCGUUUGAAACUGUAGUUCUUGAGUGAAGUAGAGGCAGGCGGAAUUCCUAGUGUAGCGGUGAAAUGCGUAGAUAUUAGGAGGAACACCAGUGGCGAAGGCGGCUUUCUGGACGGUGUCUGACGCUGAGGCGCGAAAGCCAGGGGAGC
This 247-nucleotide ribosomal RNA is filed under the name uncultured bacterium. Its description in RNAcentral is "partial 16S ribosomal RNA". It matches the Rfam family "Bacterial small subunit ribosomal RNA", at positions 523 to 769 of the family's 1533-position model. The record is from RNAcentral.